Molecule: RNase P RNA, 408 nt
Filed under: Armatimonadetes bacterium CG07_land_8_20_14_0_80_40_9
Lineage: Bacteria; Bacillati; Armatimonadota
Description: RNase P RNA component class A
Rfam family: Bacterial RNase P class A
About the family: Ribonuclease P (RNase P) is a ubiquitous endoribonuclease, found in archaea, bacteria and eukarya as well as chloroplasts and mitochondria. Its best characterised activity is the generation of mature 5'-ends of tRNAs by cleaving the 5'-leader elements of precursor-tRNAs.
Source: RNAcentral
AAGCCAGGUCGGGUAAUCGCUCAAGGCAUCUUGAGAGGAAAGUCCGGGCUCCCCAGGGCAAGGUGCUGGGUAAUACCCAGUGGUGAGGGUAAUAGCUCACUAAGGAAAGUGCCACAGAAAAUAUACCGCCCUGCACCUUUCAGGCUUUAGGAGUUAGAAAGGCAAGCUAUUAUGUAUUAUGUUGCUUGAGGUGCGGGGUAAGGGUGAAAAGGCGAGGUAAGAGCUCACCAGCAGAAAGGUGACUUUCUGGCUGGGCAAACCCCACCCGGAGCAAGGCCAAAUAAGAAAGGAUGAGCUGGUCCCGGCUCGUUAGACUUUCGGGUAGGCUGCUUGAGAGGUUAGGUAACUAACCUUCUUAGAUAGAUGAUUACCUCUAGACAGAACCCGGCUUAUAGACCUGGCUUGCUC